Neofelis nebulosa (Clouded leopard) is the source of this 3429-nucleotide long non-coding RNA. RefSeq lists it as uncharacterized. The transcript has 4 exons. The record is from RefSeq and is a predicted model, not a curated record. NCBI's taxonomy places the organism in Eukaryota, Metazoa, Chordata, Mammalia, Carnivora, Felidae.
AUGUUAUGUCAUUGUGAUCAGAGUGUAGGAACAAUGUUGGCUUCUCUGAUUUGUCCUUAUUAUACCAUGAACAUUGUCCUUUGUAACCACAGACACCUCGUACUCAUCAUUAUUGGGGCUGACGAUAUUUCAUUGGUGGGUGUAAAAUGAUUUACAAAUCCAUUCCCCUGUGUAGGCUUUGUUCUAAGCCCCUGAUUGACAGGUUGUUCACCACUUUUCCCAGUUAUGAAUGAUGUUAUAAUGAGCACCUCCAAGAUUAUUUCUCUACGUCGCAGUCCCAGGAUGGGAAUAACAGGAGCAAGAUUCCAAUCAUUUUCCUGAUUCCUGGAACGUUUUGUCAGAUUGCUUCCCAAGUGAGCUGGACCUUGUCUACCUGGCAAGCUGGGCACGGGGACCACAUUUCCACUCAUUUCCACUCCAUUUUUUACCAGCACUGAUCAUCCAUAAUUUUUUCCUAUGUCAAACAUAUCAAAUGGCUAGUGUUUUCGGUAACUUAACUGUGUGCCAGGUUCCGUCCCAAGCCCUUGGUAUGUCAUGAGUCCUCAUUCUUCCAACAGUCCCACCUGUUCGGGGCUGUAGCGUCCCAUUUUGCGGGGGAGGACACUGAGGCACAGGGAGAUGAAGUAGCCAGGGCCUCACAGCUAUGAGCUCAUGGAGUAUGGAUUCAAGCCCACGUAGUCGGGCUCAGAAGCGAGGCUGUGUCCUUCUAUUGGGAUUGAGCACAUUGCAUGUAUACCAUUUCCUUCUUAAAAUGAUGCUUAUUACUAUAAAAACCAAUACAUGCUUCCUACAGAAAAUUUAGAAGAUCCGGAAAGUCCAGAGGUCACCCAAAGUUCGGCGCUCCCCAGAGAUAACUGUUAACUGUUUGGAUACACUUCUGCUACUUUAAAAACUUUAUAAUAUUAUAAAAUGCUUAAAAUAAAUCUGGGGUAUACUGAAUAUGCCACUUAGCAUACCUCUAAUGUAUUCAACUUUAUAUCACAGGCCCCUAUCUUCAAAUAUCACGAUUUACCCAUGUCAUCAAAUAAUCUUUAACAACCAGACAUUUGGGGGAUUUGCAUAGCGUAUGUUUAUCCAGCCAGUGAAUCAGCCAAUCCCCUGUCGGACAUUUUAGUUGUUUCCAGUUUUUGACUUUAUUAUAAACAUCCCUUCUACUGAAGUCUUUGGCUGAGCACCUGACCAGUUUCCAAGUGAAAUCCUGGCAGGGAGGUCAUGGGGUCAAAGAAUGUUUCAACGAUCCCAGACACGUGUGCCAAUGGCUUCCCAGAAGUUCUGUAGCAACUGGCAUUCUGACUAGCGGCGGCCGGGACUGCGUCUGACCAAUGUCAUCCGUGGUAACUAUUACCAUGUUUAAAAGUCUUCCCAUGUAUUUCUAGGGGCGCCUGGGUGGCGCAGUCGGUUAAGUGUCCAACUUCAGCUCAGGUCAUGAUCUCAUGGCUCAUGGGUUCAAGCUCCACUUCGGGCUCUGUGCUGACAGCUCGGAGCCUGGGGCCUGCUUCGGAUUCUGUGGUCUCCCCCUUCUCUCUCUCUGCCCCCCACCCCCACUUAUGCUCUGUGUCUCUCUCAAAAAUAAAAACAUUAAAAAAUGGGAAAAAAAAUCUUCCCAUGUAUUUCUUUUAAUGUAUGACUCCUUUCAUGAUUGAGGAAAUACUUGUUUAUGGUGAAUAAUUCAUAGAACACAAAAAUGAAAGCUAUGGCUCUCUAUAAAUCUUCAUUCCAAAGAUAUAUCCACAUAAAGAUAGCACACAGUGUGUCUGGUAUAACACACACACACACACACACACACACGAUAUUAUUUUUCUUAAAGAUUUUUAUGUUGUUUAUGUAAACUCUACACCCAACGUGGGGCUGGAACCCACAACCCCGAGGUCAAGAGUCGCAUGCUCUGUUGACUGAGCCAGCCAGGCACACCCACACAUAUGAUUUUAGAAGUAACUUUUUUCACUUUUUCACUUGGUAUAAUGUGGGUAUUUUCCCAUGAUAAUGCAAAACAUAUACAUACAUAUAUACACACACACACGUAUAUAUGUACAUAUAUAUGUGUAUGUUUUCUCCUUUUUAACAAUUGCAUAAUACUUCACACUAGGGUUUCUUGAAUUUAUGUAACCAAUCCCUAUUAAUUGACAUUGAGAUUGUUUUUCUUUUUCAUCAUUGGAAUUUACUGUUUGACACUUGUGCAAAAUAUCUCCAUAAGAUGAACGCCUAGAAAGAAUCUUAUGGGGCCAUAUGAUAUCCAUGUUUAAAAUUUUGAUAAUUACUGCUAAAUAAUCCUCCAAAAAAGGAUGAACCAAUUUACAGGACUCCUGGAAGUGUAUACAAAUGCCUACUUGUUCCCCCAUUUUCUUCAAAAAUUACGCACUGUUAGCCUUUUAAAAAUAUUUCUAAUAAGUAAAUAUGUCCUCUCAAUAGUGAGAUUAAUGGUCUUUUAUGUGUUUGUCGACAUUUAGCCUUUGAAUUGCUUUUUUCUGUAUUUUGCCCACUUUUAAUUGGGCUGCUUUUUUAUAUUGAUUUAUAGGAACAAGUCUUUAUGCAUUGCACAUAUUCACCUUUUGGCAUAUACAUUCGAAAUAUUUUCUCCUGAUUUGUUGUUGCUCUUUCAAUUUUGCUUGGGAUGUAUUUUGCUAUACAGAAUUCGAAAAUCUUUAGGUAUUCAAAUCGAUUUGUAUUUUCUCUUAUAGUUUUUGGCCUACUACCAGCCUACUUAAGAAAGGCCUUCCUCACCCCCAAGAUUAUGAAAAAGAUUAUCCUAUAUUUUAUUCUCAUACUUUUAUGACUUUUUGACAAUUAAAUUUUUAUUCCAUCUGCAUUUUAAUUUUUAAAUGUUUAUUUGGUUUUGAAAGAGAGAGUGCACAAGCAGGGGAGGUGCAGCAGGGGGAGAGGCAGGGACAGAAGAUCUGAAGUGGGUUCCGUGGGGACAACAGCCGAAUGUGGGACUGGAACUCAUGAACCAUGAGAUCAUGACCAAAGCUGAAGCCGGACACUCAACCAACUGAGCCACCUAGGUGCCCCUCCAUCUGCAUUUUUGAACACGUCUUAUGGUGUCCGCAUGCCGCCACCGGCUUGGGUUCCGCAGAGUGGUCACCUUCUGCCCGCCUGAGACACCAGCUGCCUGCGCCAGGACCCUCCUCACCCACCUAUUUCAAUCAACACCCCUUAAGCCUUUCAAGCACGACUGCGAGUGGACAACCAGUAUCACUUGCCAUGAAUGGAAGUUUGCCGUGACCUGAAGGAUGCACAGACUCAAAAAGGAAAGCCUGGCCUCUCUAGUGGAUCGAGUUCCAGCCCCACCGCCUCCCCACCGCCACCGAUCCACAGUGGACACGUAGCACGGGCUUUCCCCAGACUGGAGUUCCCGAGGCCAUCCUUGGACAAAGUCUCCAUGAUCUCCUGGGAGAGUCCUUCCUCCAAGAAGUCUUGUGCCAGAGGGCA